Homo sapiens (human) is the source of this 2158-nucleotide long non-coding RNA. NCBI's taxonomy places the organism in Eukaryota, Metazoa, Chordata, Mammalia, Primates, Hominidae. The record is from Ensembl.
UUGGCUGCAAGGCCUUUCCCCCUAACAGAGACUGGUUCAAGGGAGAUUCGGACACAUCUCCACCUCCAAAGCCAAGUGCCUUCCCGGGAUGAUCUGCAUAACAAUUUGCGGGUGCUGGUGGUGGAGAAGCUCCGGGAAGAGAAAACUAGCCGGACGGUAUCGAACCGCCCGCAGGCCCGUCGCAGCUCCAUUAAUGCAACUACCAUUACACUAAGUAUCUCCUAUAGGGCUCUUCAAACUGUGGUCAACUUAGUAAAUGAUGUUGACAGUGGAAGUGUGAUCAUUUUAUUUUCCUGCCUUUGGAAUUGAAGAUUGUAAUUUUGCAAAAAUUUUGUUGAAGAUGAUGUAGCUUUGGUUCAGAGAGCUGGAGUACAAUGGCACCAUCUCAGCUCGCCGCAACCUCCACCUCCUGGGUUCAAGCGAUUCUCCUGCCUCAGCCUCCCGAGUAGCUGGGAUUACAGGUUCCAAGUCUCUUCUUCGGCCUCUCAAACAUGGUACCAUCCCUAAUGAAGUCAACGGGUCCAGCAUGACAGGAUGGAAGUACAAGUGUCAGCACCUAUGUGAGUCCCAAGAGGGGAAAUUAGAAACAAAAAGGAAGAAGAGGACAUAGGCCAGGCACGGCGGCUCACGCCUGUAAUCCCAACACUUUGGGAGGCCAAGGUGGGCAGAUCACCUGAGGUCAGGAGUUCAAGACCAGCCUGGUCAACAUGGCAAAAGCCCAUCUCUACUAAAAAAUACAAAAAAUUAGCCAGGCGUGGUGGUGGGAGCCUGUAAUCCCACCUACUCGGGAGGCUGAGGCAGGAGAAUUGCUUCAAUCUGGGAGGCAGAGGUUGCAGUGAGCUGAGAUCGUGCCAUUGCACUCCAGCCUGGGCGACAGAGUAAGACUCUGUCUCAGAAAAAAAAAAAAAAAAAGGAAAAAAAAAGAUGAUAUAGUCAAAGAAAUAACAUUAAAUUUCUUAUAAUUUAAGAUGAAUGAUUUCAGAUUGAAAAGUUUAUAAAGGUGCCAAAGAGAAAAGGAAAGAUCCACACUAGAUACAUUAGAAUGAAAUGUCAAAGUAACAUACAUAAAGAAGAAAUUCUGAAAUCUUCUAGAAAGAAAGAACAUGUUAUCUAUGAAGGAACAAGGAUCAUAUUGAUAUUAGAUUUCUCAACAGCACAUGUGCUGCAAGAAGACAAAGGAGUAAUAUUAAGUAUUGUGAAACAAACCUAGAGCUUAGAAUUUCAUAUUUAAAAUUCUAAAUAAAUUAUCAUUCAAAUUGUUAUAGUUUGGGGGCCAGGUGUGGUGGCUCAUGCCUAUAAUCCCAGCACUUUGGGAGACUAAGGCGGGCAGAUCACUUGAGCUCAGGAGUUUGAGACGAGCCUGGCAAACACGGCAAAACCCCAUCUCAAAAUACAAAAAUUAGCUAGAUGUGGUGGUGCAUGCCCAUAAUCCUAGCUACUUGGGAGGCUGAGGCACGAGAAUUGCUUGAACUUGGGAGGCGGAGGUUGCAGUGAGCCAAGAUCGUGCCAUUGCACUCCAGCCUGGGCGACAGAGUGAGACUCGGUCUCAUAUAUAUAUGAGACUGACAAAUUGAUACAGUUUGGAUAUAUGUCCCUGCCCCAGUCUCAUGUUGAACUGUAAUCUGCAAUGUUGGAGGUGGGGCCUGGUGGGAGGUGGUUGGAUCAUGGGGGCAGAUUUCCAUGAAUGGUUUAACACCAUCUUCCUGGUUUGUCCUCAUGACAGUGAGUGAGUUCUUGAGAGAACUCAUCAUUUAAAAAUGUGUGGCACUUCCUCUCUUUCUCUCUUGCUCCUGCUCUGGGUAUGUGACGUGCCUGCUCCCCCUUUGCCUACUGCCAUAAUUCAGAGUUUCCUGAGGCCUCCCAAGAAGAUAAGCCGAUGCCAGCACCAUGCUUCCUGUAAGCUGGCAGAACCAUGAGUAAAUUAAACCUCUUUUUUAAAUAAGUUACCCAAUCUCAGGUAUUUUUUAUAGCAAUGUGAGAAUGUGCUAGCACACAAAUAUGUUACCACUUAAAUUAUCAUUCAAAUAUAAAAGCAUAGUAAAGCUGACAUUAAGCCUCAAGCAUACAAGUUCACAGAAAAUUUGUCACACAAGGACCCACAUUAUAAGAGAAGCAGAAAUUCAUACUGCUUUAAGAGAUAUCAGAGGCUGGGUGUGGU